AGCGAACGCUGGCGGCAGGCCUAACACAUGCCAGUCGAACGAACCUUUCGGGGUUAGUGGCGGACGGGUGAGUAACACGUGGGAACGUGCCUUUAGGUUCGGAAUAACUCAGGGAAACUUGUGCUAAUACCGAAUGCGCCCUUCGGGGGAAAGAUUUGUCGCCUUUAGAGCGGCCCGCGUCUGAUUAGCUAGUUGGUUGAGGUAAUGGCUCACCAAGGCGACGAUCAGUAGCUGGUCUGAGAGGAUGAUCAGCCACAUUGGGACUGAGACACGGCCCAAACUCCUACGGGAGGCAGCAGUGGGGAAUCUUGCGCAAUGGGCGAAAGCCUGACGCAGCCAUGCCGCGUGAAUGAUGAAGGUCUUAGGAUUGUAAAAUUCUUUCACCGGGGACGAUAAUGACGGUACCCGGAGAAGAAGCCCCGGCUAACUUCGUG
This 434-nucleotide ribosomal RNA is filed under the name uncultured bacterium. Its description in RNAcentral is "partial 16S ribosomal RNA". It matches the Rfam family "Bacterial small subunit ribosomal RNA", at positions 29 to 507 of the family's 1533-position model. The record is from RNAcentral.